This 1961-nucleotide ribosomal RNA is filed under the name Platypus cylindrus. Its description in RNAcentral is "SSU rRNA". It matches the Rfam family "Eukaryotic small subunit ribosomal RNA". Lineage: Eukaryota; Metazoa; Arthropoda; Insecta; Coleoptera; Curculionidae. The record is from RNAcentral.
UUGUCUCAAAGAUUAAGCCAUGCAUGUCUCAGUACAAGCCAUAUUAAGGUGAAACCGCGAAAGGCUCAUUAAAUCAGUUAUGGUUCCUUAGAUCGUACCCAGGUUACUUGGAUAACUGUGGUAAUUCUAGAGCUAAUACAUGCAAACAGAGCUCCGACUGGAAACGGAAGGAGUGCUUUUAUUAGAUCAAAGCCAAACGGUAACUUAAUGUUGUCGUACAAUAAUAUUGUUGACUCUGAAUAACUUUAUGCUGAUCGCAUGGUCUUGCACCGGCGACGCAUCUUUCAAAUGUCUGCCUUAUCAACUGUCGAUGGUAGGUUCUGCGCCUACCAUGGUUGUAACGGGUAACGGGGAAUCAGGGUUCGAUUCCGGAGAGGGAGCCUGAGAAACGGCUACCACAUCCAAGGAAGGCAGCAGGCGCGCAAAUUACCCACUCCCGGCACGGGGAGGUAGUGACGAAAAAUAACGAUACGGGACUCAUCCGAGGCCCCGUAAUCGGAAUGAGUACACUUUAAAUCCUUUAACGAGGAUCAAUUGGAGGGCAAGUCUGGUGCCAGCAGCCGCGGUAAUUCCAGCUCCAAUAGCGUAUAUUAAAGUUGUUGCGGUUAAAAAGCUCGUAGUCAAAUUUGUGUCUCGUGCCGCUGGUUCAUCGUUCGCGGUGUUAAUUGGCGUGAUACGAGACGUCCUGCCGGUGGGCUUUCAGAUUUUUCCGUAUUUCAGGACCAUAACAAUUGGUUUGUAUCUGUGGCGUAAUACUGCAGUGCAGGGCAAUUGGUUAAUGAACGGUUGGUUUUUGUGCUACCCAAACUUACAAUCCUGUCGCGUUGCUCUUGAUUGAGUGACGAGGUGGGCCGGCACGUUUACUUUGAACAAAUUAGAGUGCUUAAAGCAGGCAAAAUUUCGCCUGAAUAUUCUGUGCAUGGAAUAAUGGAAUAGGACCUCGGUUCUAUUUCGUUGGUUUUCGGAACUCCGAGGUAAUGAUUAAUAGGAACGGAUGGGGGCAUUCGUAUUGCGACGUUAGAGGUGAAAUUCUUGGAUCGUCGCAAGACGAACAGAAGCGAAAGCAUUUGCCAAAAACGCUUUCAUUGAUCAAGAACGAAAGUUAGAGGUUCGAAGGCGAUCAGAUACCGCCCUAGUUCUAACCGUAAACUAUGUCAUCUGACGAUCCGUCGACGUUCCUUUAUUGACUCGACGGGCAGUUUCCGGGAAACCAAAGAUUUUGGGUUCCGGGGGAAGUAUGGUUGCAAAGCUGAAACUUAAAGGAAUUGACGGAAGGGCACCACCAGGAGUGGAGCCUGCGGCUUAAUUUGACUCAACACGGGAAACCUCACCAGGCCCGGACACCGGAAGGAUUGACAGAUUGAGAGCUCUUUCUUGAUUCGGUGGGUGGUGGUGCAUGGCCGUUCUUAGUUGGUGGAGCGAUUUGUCUGGUUAAUUCCGAUAACGAACGAGACUCUAGCCUGCUAAAUAGGCGACAUAUGACAUCGCAAAGGCCAGCCGGUUUGAUUUAAAGGGUGGCGAGGUGGCGUCAAGGCGUUUAUCUCGUGCUCUUGUCAGAUUGUGCGCGGUUUUUACUGUCGGCGUAUAAAUAAUUCUUCUUAGAGGGACAGGCGGCUUUUAGCCGCACGAGAUUGAGCAAUAACAGGUCUGUGAUGCCCUUAGAUGUUCUGGGCCGCACGCGCGCUACACUGAAGGAAUCAGCGUGUCCUCCCUGGCCGAGUGGCCCGGGUAACCCGCUGAACCUCCUUCGUGCUAGGGAUUGGGGCUUGCAAUUGUUCCCCAUGAACGAGGAAUUCCCAGUAAGCGCGAGUCAUAAGCUCGCGUUGAUUACGUCCCUGCCCUUUGUACACACCGCCCGUCGCUACUACCGAUUGAAUGAUUUACUGAGGUCUUCGGAUCGAUGCGCGAUGACGUCUGACGUUGAUCGAUGUAUCCGAGAAGAUGACCAAACUUGAUCAUUU